Molecule: transfer-messenger RNA, 391 nt
Filed under: Halioglobus sp.
Lineage: Bacteria; Pseudomonadati; Pseudomonadota; Gammaproteobacteria; Cellvibrionales; Halieaceae
Rfam family: transfer-messenger RNA
About the family: Bacterial tmRNA, also known as 10Sa RNA or SsrA, is named for its dual tRNA and mRNA-like properties.
Source: RNAcentral
GGGGGCGAUUCGGAUUCGACGACGGUAGCAAACCCUGAGGUGCAUGCCGUGAUGGUAGCCAAUCACGUAAAUCCAAAGCUGCAAACUAUUAGUUGCCAACGACGACAACUACGGUGCACAACUGGCUGCGUAAGUAGCCCGUUUAACACCAUCUAGUGGCUUCGGCCCUAGCGGUCUUUAGCAAGGUUCCAGCCCCGCGCUAUUGACUGUCAUACAGAACUGGAUCGCAGCUUGCUAUGUCCUGGAUCAAGCCGCUAAACUUUUUCAGGGCUCGCUAAUCACGUCCUGCCCGUUGGGCUGUGUGCGGCUAAAUUAAUCAACGGGGUCUAAGCAUGUAGAGCCGAUGGCAGAGCACUGGCGGACGCGGGUUCAAUUCCCGCCGCCUCCACCA